GAUGAACGCUGGCGGCGUGCUUAACACAUGCAAGUCGAACGGAAAGGCCCAAGCUUGCUUGGGUACUCGAGUGGCGAACGGGUGAGUAACACGUGGGUGAUCUGCCCUGCACUUCGGGAUAAGCCUGGGAAACUGGGUCUAAUACUGGAUAGGACCACUUCUUGGAUGUUGUGGUGGAAAGUUUUUUCGGUGUGGGAUGAGCUCGCGGCCUAUCAGCUUGUUGGUGGGGUAAUGGCCUACCAAGGCGUCGACGGGUAGCCGGCCUGAGAGGGUGUACGGCCACAUUGGGACUGAGAUACGGCCCAGACUCCUACGGGAGGCAGCAGUGGGGAAUAUUGCACAAUGGGCGCAAGCCUGAUGCAGCGACGCCGCGGGGGGGAUGACGGCCUUCGGGUUGUAAACUCCUUUCGCUAGGGACGAAGCGUUGUGUGACGGUACCUGGAGAAGAAGCACCGGCUAACUACGUG
RNAcentral lists this ribosomal RNA (467 nucleotides) under uncultured bacterium. RNAcentral describes it as "partial 16S ribosomal RNA". It matches the Rfam family "Bacterial small subunit ribosomal RNA", at positions 28 to 507 of the family's 1533-position model. The record is from RNAcentral.